RNAcentral lists this ribosomal RNA (205 nucleotides) under uncultured eukaryote. RNAcentral's name for it is "partial 18S ribosomal RNA". It matches the Rfam family "Eukaryotic small subunit ribosomal RNA", at positions 1299 to 1458 of the family's 1831-position model. The record is from RNAcentral.
UCGUGGAUUGAUUUGUCUGGUUGAUUCCGAUAACGAACGAGAUCUCAACCUGCUAAAUAGCAAACGUAGUCUCCUGCUGGGUGAAUGCAGGGGUCUGCAUGGCCUCCGGGUUGUGUGGCCUCUGUUGGAUCUCGGGAGAUCUAGCGUUACGGCUUCUUAGAGGGACUGCUUCAGUUAAUGGAGAGGAGGUUUUGAGGCAAUAACA